AUGAGUCCCUCAAAGGUUGGAAACAGAUUUCUCUCUCCCCGACAGGUGAAGAAGGGAACAGGUGACGAGGUCUCAGUGAUCACACCACAACCCAGCUGCUCUGCCGAGCUGCCCCACAUGAGGCGGCUGGUCCCACAGCCCAGGGGCCACAACCUGGAGCCCAUGGAGAUGACCCCCCAUCCAGCCUCACCUCCCUCAAACACCAGCCCCUCCUCCAGCGUGGAUCUCCCCGACUGCUUACCAGAAGAGGAGCGAGCGAUUUCUCCAUUCUAUAUGAGUAAUCACCUAUCUCCAAUACACUGCAGACCCGAUGUCACCAAGUAAGUUCACGUCACGUCACUCAGAAAAUAACAACAACACGGUACCCUGAAUGACCUAUUCUAUAGCUUUGAUGUAUGUAGACCUACAAGAUACAUCUCGGACUUCCCAUAUGUACUGUUUGUUCUCUUCUCACCCAUAGUUUUCUAGACCGCACCAUACGGGCAGCGGUACAACAGCAUCUCUUUGAGAUAAACUCCCUUGACUGUCCCCGUGUACCGGGACCUGGUUUGCGGGGACCUGGUUUGCCGGAAACUGGUUUGCCAGAACCUGGUUUGCACGGACGUCGUUGGACGGCACCUGCUUUGCAGUUUCCCCAAGAGGAUACUACUUGCUUUAGUCCUCCGCCGUGGACGUCUAGUGCGAGGCAGAGACGUCGGCAGAAGAGAGAGCAGAGGGAAGAGGAGGAGGGCGAGAGGGAGCCAGAGAGAAGCAGGUAUGGUUCACCUCUUGUGGUCUCAGCUGUUGGUUCAUGUUGGUGUUCCAUUGGUGCCAUGUGGGUACUUUCCUCAGAGGUGUCAGUGUAGGGAAAACAGAUUGGUUUUGGGAGGGGGUAAAGAUUAGAGGGAAACAGGGUAACUGUUAGAUGGUUGGGAUUAGUGCUACAAGUUCAAAGAGUUUGGGUUCAAAUCCUUUCCAAUCUGUUCUAAU
This 969-nucleotide long non-coding RNA is filed under the name Gadus morhua (Atlantic cod). Its description in RNAcentral is "lncRNA (ENSGMOG00000028975.1)". The record is from RNAcentral. Lineage: Eukaryota; Metazoa; Chordata; Actinopteri; Gadiformes; Gadidae.